UGAAGCACAAUAAUUCAAUAGUUCAUCCUCAGCUACCUAAGUUAAGGUUGUGGUCUUAUCCUUUUUCUUAUUUUUGGGUCCAUUCCCCUUUUUCUUGUUUCACAGAUCAAGACUAUUCUUUCCUGUAACUGUCCAGUAGUUACUUCUCCCCUUUACCUUAGUUUCCUUAAAAUGGACCUUACUAUGAGUGGAUAUGGGGCAGAUUCACUAGGUUAGAUUCUCUUUCC
Molecule: long non-coding RNA, 227 nt
Filed under: Capsicum annuum
Lineage: Eukaryota; Viridiplantae; Streptophyta; Magnoliopsida; Solanales; Solanaceae
Description: long non-coding RNA (CANN_LNC021680)
Source: RNAcentral